Molecule: ribosomal RNA, 288 nt
Filed under: Triticum aestivum (bread wheat)
Lineage: Eukaryota; Viridiplantae; Streptophyta; Magnoliopsida; Poales; Poaceae
Description: partial small subunit ribosomal RNA
Source: RNAcentral
AUGACUUGGGGGCAGAAGGACGGCGGCGAUUCGUCGGCGUCGCCCGGCUCCUCGCCGUGCCAUGACGACGAGCGGCACAAGGUCCCCAGAGGGCACGUCCCCAUGGUCACCGGUUGCGGCAAGCGCGUGGUGGUGCCGGUGAGGCUGCUCCGGGACCCAUGCGUCGCGGAGCUGCUUGACAUGGCGGCGCAGCAGUACGGCUACGGCCAGCCGGGCGUGUUGCGGAUCCCAUGCGAUGCCGGACACUUCCGCAGGGUCGUCGACGGCGCGCUGCACAGAGCCGACUAG